RNAcentral lists this ribosomal RNA (432 nucleotides) under uncultured bacterium. Its description in RNAcentral is "bacterial SSU rRNA". It matches the Rfam family "Bacterial small subunit ribosomal RNA", at positions 29 to 462 of the family's 1533-position model. The record is from RNAcentral.
AACGAACGCUGGCGGCAUGCCUUACACAUGCAAGUCGAACGGCAGCGCGGGGCAACCUGGCGGCGAGUGGCGAACGGGUGAGUAAUAUAUCGGAACGUGCCCUGGAGUGGGGGAUAACGUAGCGAAAGUUACGCUAAUACCGCAUACGAUCCAAGGAUGAAAGCAGGGGACCUUCGGGCCUUGUGCUCCUGGAGCGGCCGAUAUCUGAUUAGCUAGUUGGUGGGGUAAAAGCCUACCAAGGCGACGAUCAGUAGCUGGUCUGAGAGGACGACCAGCCACACUGGAACUGAGACACGGUCCAGACUCCUACGGGAGGCAGCAGUGGGGAAUUUUGGACAAUGGGGGGCAACCCUGAUCCAGCAAUGCCGCGUGUGUGAAGAAGGCCUUCGGGUUGUAAGUCGACUUUGUUCAGGAACGAAACGGUUAGAGGUU